Molecule: ribosomal RNA, 431 nt
Filed under: uncultured bacterium
Lineage: Bacteria
Description: bacterial SSU rRNA
Rfam family: Bacterial small subunit ribosomal RNA
Source: RNAcentral
UACGGAAGGCAGCAGUGGGGAAUCUUGCGCAAUGGGCGAAAGCCUGACGCAGCCAUGCCGCGUGAAUGAUGAAGGUCUUAGGAUUGUAAAAUUCUUUCACCGGGGACGAUAAUGACGGUACCCGGAGAAGAAGCCCCGGCUAACUUCGUGCCAGCAGCCGCGGUAAUACGAAGGGGGCUAGCGUUGCUCGGAAUUACUGGGCGUAAAGGGAGCGUAGGCGGACAUUUAAGUCAGGGGUGAAAUCCCGGGGCUCAACCUCGGAAUUGCCUUUUGAUACUGGGUGUCUUGAGUAUGAGAGAGGUGUGUGGAACUCCGAGUGUAGAGGUGAAAUUCGUAGAUAUUCGGAAGAACACCAGUGGCGAAGGCGACACACUGGCUCAUUACUGACGCUGAGGCUCGAAAGCGUGGGGAGCAAACAGGGAUUAGAUACC